UGGGGAAUUCUGGACAAUGGGCGAAAGCCUGAUCCAGCAAUGCCGCGUGUGUGAAGAAGGCCUUCGGGUUGUAAAGCACUUUUGUCCGGAAAGAAAUCCCUGGCUCUAAUACAGUCGGGGGAUGACGGUACCGGAAGAAUAAGCACCGGCUAACUACGUGCCAGCAGCCGCGGUAAUACGUAGGGUGCGAGCGUUAAUCGGAAUUACUGGGCGUAAAGCGUGCGCAGGCGGUCUGUUAAGACAGAUGUGAAAUCCCCGGGCUCAACCUGGGAACUGCAUUUGUGACUGGCAGGCUAGAGUAUGGCAGAGGGGGGUAGAAUUCCACGUGUAGCAGUGAAAUGCGUAGAGAUGUGGAGGAAUACCGAUGGCGAAGGCAGCCCCCUGGGCCAAUACUGACGCUCAUGCACGAAAGCGUGGGGAGCAAACA
This 427-nucleotide ribosomal RNA is filed under the name uncultured prokaryote. RNAcentral describes it as "bacterial SSU rRNA". It matches the Rfam family "Bacterial small subunit ribosomal RNA", at positions 355 to 774 of the family's 1533-position model. The record is from RNAcentral.